GAUGAACGCUGGCGGCGUGCCUAAUACAUGCAAGUCGAGCGAACAGACGAGGAGCUUGCUCCUCUGACGUUAGCGGCGGACGGGUGAGUAACACGUGGAUAACCUACCUAUAAGACUGGGAUAACUUCGGGAAACCGGAGCUAAUACCGGAUAAUAUAUUGAACCGCAUGGUUCAAUAGUGAAAGACGGUUUUGCUGUCACUUAUAGAUGGAUCCGCGCCGCAUUAGCUAGUUGGUAAGGUAACGGCUUACCAAGGCAACGAUGCGUAGCCGACCUGAGAGGGUGAUCGGACACCCUGGAACUGAGACACGGUCCAGACUCCUACGGGAGGCAGCAGUAGGGAAUCUUCCGCAAUGGGCGAAAGCCUGACGGAGCAACGCCGCGUGAGUGAUGAAGGUCUUCGGAUCGUAAAACUCUGUUAUUAGGGAAGAACAAAUGUGUAAGUAACUAUGCACGUCUUGACGGUACCUAAUCAGAAAGCCACGGCUAACUACGUG
RNAcentral lists this ribosomal RNA (497 nucleotides) under uncultured bacterium. RNAcentral describes it as "partial 16S ribosomal RNA". It matches the Rfam family "Bacterial small subunit ribosomal RNA", at positions 28 to 507 of the family's 1533-position model. The record is from RNAcentral.